CUUGGAACAAAAUGCUACUCACACAGAAGCUCAUCAAAAGAACAGGCUUUAAACACAUUAUAUCGCUUUAACAUACAGAAGACUUUUCCAAUCAUGUGCAGUGGUCAAUGGGGUACCAUAAAUGAGUUAUAGGGGGUGCUGAGUGCCAGAUCGGUCCUGAGGUAGCUAGAGCAGUCCUGAGGUUUUUUUUUGUUUUGUUUUUUUAAUCUCUAGUUAGGAACAGCCUGUUCUUUGAUCCCAAGGAGCUACAAAAUGUUAUUUCCUUCACGUUAUGAUGUGAAAAAGAUUGGGAAGCACUAGGUGGAUGCAAAUCCUGAUCCACAUAAUUAAAGGCAACAUUGACAUGUUAAAGGCAACAUUGACAUGGGGUUCCUGAGGCUGCUCCAGCCAUGAAGAAUGUGGGCAUCUUGGAGUCCCCUUUAACAGGUUGACUCUGCUGCACAGCCUGGGAUCAGAAAGUCUGAGGUCACCCCAGCCCUGCUGCUUAAGCCAGACUCAACAAGCGCCUGAUGGACUAUGGAGAUACUGCAAUGCAGUGCUAAAGGCCCAGCCCCAUGCCUGGCUCCCUGACCAUGCCCACUGUGGGAAGUACCUUGCCCUCUCCUUGCCUGGGAUGGGGAAGGAUGGUGGAUCCCAUCAAGGUCCCACAAAGCCUGUGGCCCAAUGUUGAUAUUCGUUCCUCUGGAAGUGCAGUUCUAAUUAAUAUUAAUACUUUCAGAUACCCUAAAGAGUUGUUCUCAAAGUUGGUCCCUGGUCCAGAUGCAUCAGGACCACCUGGGGACUUAUUAGAAAUGCACAUACUUCAGCCCCACCCAGACAGACUGAUCAGAAAGCUCUGAGGAUAGGACCCAGAAAUCUAUAUUUUAACAAGACAUCCAGAUGACUGAUUGACACAGGAGUUUGAGAACCACUGCCCUGAAGAAACUACUUUACAUUGUUGACAACAGAGGCAGCUUCUGGGAGCAAAUUCAUAUCUCAGAAAUUGCUAUUUCCUGUGCUUAGCUUGAGAAUUUUCUUUAGUCCUAAAAUCAAGACAGCCAUGGGAAAAGACUCCAGAUGUGCACAUGGGUCCAGAUGAACUCCUAUAGGGACAGGGCCAGAUGCUGCUGUAAUCCAACCUACCAAAAGUACAGGCAUGGAAAUUGGGCCUUAAAGACAGAAAGCAACCUGCCCAAGAGUACACAGCAGACCAUGACAGGCUGAAAAUCAUGAUCUAAGCAAAUGCGUUAUCAAAAUGUGGUCAACUCCUGGUGUAUUAGUCCAUUUUCACUGCUAUAAAGAACUGCCCAAGACUGGAUAAUUUAUAAAGGAAAGAGGUUUAAUUGACUCACAGUUCAGCAUGGUUUGGGAAG
Molecule: non-coding RNA, 1352 nt
Organism: Callithrix jacchus (white-tufted-ear marmoset)
Lineage: Eukaryota; Metazoa; Chordata; Mammalia; Primates; Cebidae
Source: RefSeq, a predicted model, not a curated record